GAGCGGAUUCAAACUGGCCAAAGUGAUAUUCCGUACCAUGUAGCGUCGUGCCCAGUAUGUUACCUGGGAGGAGCUGGCUGGGGGAGGGAGGCAGCAAUCGCGGCUCGGGGACCAGCAGGGUCGGUUGGCGGCUGGAGAUGAUAGUUCACACAACUUCAGAAGCUCCGGGUGCUCUUCUAGUCUCAUUUCAGAGAUAAUUUUCAUGAAAGCCCGUCCUGAGACCCAUACAUAUCUGGAGCCAUAUUCCACGUCCGUAUGGUGCCAGGAAGAAACUGCAGACAUCUUUCUGACAGUCCUCUUGAGAAGAUUCAGAGAAAGCAACUCUUCUUCAUGAUAAAUGGAAAUCUUGGAAAUCUUAUCCUUGGUGGCUAAUCAAGGCUGCUAAUGAAAUCAGCAGAACUUUCAGAUUGCUGUCUGGCCAAUGGAUGCUAGGGGAAGGCUCCCAAUAACUAUGGGUGUAGAAACAUGGAGGCAAAUUGCAUCCAACAUGUAUGCAUUCUCCAUCAACUCUGGUGUGAUUCAGGACAGGGUGGAAUUAUGUUACAAAUAGAAGAAAUAACACAUUGGAAAAGCACCAUUCUGCAGUCUCCAGAAAGAAUAAUGUCUGUCUUCAAACUAGCUUUGCAGAAAGUAGAUCCACAGCUUUGCUUUCUUUCCAACCAUUUGUGGCUUGAGAUCUAAUGAUCCUAAUCUACAGCUUUAUUUCCAUUCCCAGUGGAGGCUGAGGCUGGCAGAAUGGACAGGCUCUGUAUGCUCACUGGCCAUAAACUAAUCUCUAGACAAUAUUUUCUGUGUUGAGAAUUAUUUUCAAAUGGAUUAAGUCACUCUGUGUGCCAAGGCCUUAUUUCGUGAGAUUGUUAUUUCAGUGUAACUAACAGACACAGCUACUCUCAGCUUUAUUUUGACAGUUAAAAUAGCCAAAUUAAAAGCAAUAGAUGUCUUAGAAAACUGCUUAACAUCUGUUUGUUUGAGUUUGAUUCAUUAAUACUUUUGGAACUCAUAAUCUCGUUUACUUUCCCUGGUAUCCCCAGAGCAGCCCACAGCUUGACUAC
Phalacrocorax carbo (great cormorant) is the source of this 1052-nucleotide non-coding RNA. The record is from RefSeq and is a predicted model, not a curated record. NCBI's taxonomy places the organism in Eukaryota, Metazoa, Chordata, Aves, Suliformes, Phalacrocoracidae.